This 789-nucleotide ribosomal RNA is filed under the name uncultured bacterium. Its description in RNAcentral is "bacterial SSU rRNA". It matches the Rfam family "Bacterial small subunit ribosomal RNA", at positions 8 to 796 of the family's 1533-position model. The record is from RNAcentral.
AGAGUUUGAUCAUGGCUCAGGAUGAACGCUAGCGGCAGGCCUAAUACAUGCAAGUCGAACGGUAAAUAUGCAGCAAUGUAUAUGAGAGUGACGUACGGGUGCGUAACACGUAUGCAACCUACCCUUUACAGGCGGAUAGCUCGGGGAAACUCGGAUUAACCCGUCAUAAUAUAAUUGAAUGGCAUCAUUUGGUUAUUAAAUCUACGGAGGUAAAGGAUGGGCAUGCGUCUGAUUAGUUAGUUGGCGGUGUAACGGACCACCAAGACGAUGAUCAGUAGGGGAACUGAGAGGUUGAUCCCCCACACUGGCACUGAGAUACGGGCCAGACUCCUACGGGAGGCAGCAGUAGGGAAUAUUGGUCAAUGGAUGGAAGUCUGAACCAGCCAUGCCGCGUGCAGGAAGAAGGCCUUCUGGGUUGUAAACUGCUUUUGCCAGGGGCUAAAAAGCCCAUGCGUGGGAAAUUGAAAGUACCUGGUGAAUAAGCCACGGCUAACUACGUGCCAGCAGCCGCGGUAAUACGUAGGUGGCAAGCGUUGUCCGGAUUUAUUGGGUUUAAAGGGUGCGUAGGCGGCUUUGUAAGUCAGUGGUGAAAUAUGGCAGCUCAACUGUCAAGGUGCCAUUGAUACUGCGGAGCUUGAGUACAGAUGAGGUAGGCGGAAUUGACGGUGUAGCGGUGAAAUUCGUAGAUAUUCGGAAGAACACCAGUGGCGAAGGCGGCUCACUGGACCGUUGUUGACGCUGAGGUGCGAAAGCGUGGGGAGCAAACAGGAUUAGAUACCCUAGUAGUCC